RNAcentral lists this ribosomal RNA (777 nucleotides) under uncultured Neocallimastigales. RNAcentral's name for it is "partial large subunit ribosomal RNA". It matches the Rfam family "Eukaryotic large subunit ribosomal RNA", at positions 19 to 646 of the family's 3401-position model. The record is from RNAcentral. Lineage: Eukaryota; Fungi; Neocallimastigomycota; Neocallimastigomycetes; Neocallimastigales.
CGAGCACGCGCGUGUGGCAUAUCAAUAAGCGGAGGAAAAGAAACUAACUAGGAUUCCCUCAGUAACGGCGAGUGAAGCGGGAAGAGCUCAAAUUUGAAAUCUUCAAGGUUCUACCUUGACGAAUUGUAGUUUAUAGAAGUGUUUUCUGUUAGUAGAGUGGCAAAAGUUCUUUGGAAUAGGACAUCAUAGAGGGUGAGAAUCCCGUAUUUGGUCAUUCCUCCUAGCGUUGUGAUACACUUUCAACGAGUCGGAUUGUUUGGGAAUGCAGUCCAAAAUGGGUGGUAAAUUUCAUCUAAAGCUAAAUAUUGGCGAGAGACCGAUAGCGAACAAGUACCGUGAGGGAAAGAUGAAAAGAACUUUGAAAAGAGAGUUAAACAGUACGUGAAAUUGUCAAAAGGGAAGCGUUUGACACCAGUGUUGUUUUUCCGAAAAUCAAUUACGAAUGUUUUGUUUUUGAGGAAGUUAUGACUUCAUCGGCUUGCUCUCUUCUUUACUGAAACUUUCUUAAUGCACUUUUCGGUUAACAAGUCAACAUCAAUUUCUUUUGUUGUAAAAGGGUAUGAGGAAGGUGGCUUUCUUUUCGGAGAAAGUGUUUAUAGCCUUGUGCCUCUACAAUCGGAGAGAUUGAGGUCUGCAGCGUAGAUCCUUCGGGGUUAGAUACAGUUUGUGCUAAGUUAUAGCUUUUCAUAGACAACUUGUUGACUAUGUUUAGUCUUGUAGCUUACUCGCUGAUGCUAUUUUACCUACGCUUAGGAUGUUGAUGUGAUACUGCGAGCA